UUAACUUAUUUGCUUGUUUUCUCAGAGAGGCCACUAGAAUACAGAAUAGUUUUUGGCGCUCCGGCGGGCAGCACCCGAGGGUGCCAGCGUCCCCAGGGAGGGGACGCCCGCCGAGGCAACACGAUACGGGUAACGUUCACAAUGGUUUGGGAGUCUUUUUAGAACUCUGUAAUGAUCCCUCCGCUGGUUCACCAACGGAGA
Molecule: unclassified non-coding RNA, 201 nt
Filed under: uncultured fungus
Lineage: Eukaryota; Fungi
Description: sequence contains ITS1
Source: RNAcentral